This 29-nucleotide non-coding RNA is filed under the name Bombyx mori (domestic silkworm). Lineage: Eukaryota; Metazoa; Arthropoda; Insecta; Lepidoptera; Bombycidae. The record is from RNAcentral.
UGUCUGAUGUAAUGCCGGAUAUCGCGAAU